RNAcentral lists this ribosomal RNA (497 nucleotides) under uncultured bacterium. RNAcentral's name for it is "partial 16S ribosomal RNA". It matches the Rfam family "Bacterial small subunit ribosomal RNA", at positions 28 to 507 of the family's 1533-position model. The record is from RNAcentral.
GAUGAACGCUGGCGGCGUGCCUAAUACAUGCAAGUCGAGCGAACGGACGAGAAGCUUGCUUCUCUGAUGUUAGCGGCGGACGGGCGAGUAACACGUGGAUAACCUACCUAUAAGACUGGGAUCACUUCGGGAAACCGGAGCUAACACCGGAUAAUAUUUUGAACCGCAUGGUUCAAAAGUGAAAGACGGUCUUGCUGUCACUUAUAGAUGGUUCCGCGCUGCAUUAGCUAGUUGGUAAGGUAACGGCUUACCAAGGCAACGAUGCAUAGCCGACCUGAGAGGGUGAUCGGCCACACUGGAACUGAGACACGGUCCAGACUCCUAAGGGAGGCAGCAGUAGGGAAUCUUCCGCAAUGGGCGAAAGCCUGACGGAGCAACGCCGCGUGAGUGAUGAAGGUCUUCGGAUCGUAAAACUCUGUUAUUAGGGAAGAACAUAUGUGUAAGUAACUGUGCACAUCUUGACGGUACCUAAUCAGAAAGCCACGGCUAACUACGUG